RNAcentral lists this non-coding RNA (20 nucleotides) under Arabidopsis thaliana (thale cress). Lineage: Eukaryota; Viridiplantae; Streptophyta; Magnoliopsida; Brassicales; Brassicaceae. The record is from RNAcentral.
CUAUACCCGGCCGUCGGGGC